Molecule: ribosomal RNA, 497 nt
Filed under: uncultured bacterium
Lineage: Bacteria
Description: partial 16S ribosomal RNA
Rfam family: Bacterial small subunit ribosomal RNA
Source: RNAcentral
GAUGAACGCUGGCGGCGUGCCUAAUACAUGCCAGUCGAGCGAACGGACGAGAAGCUUGCUUCUCUGAUGUUAGCGGCGGACGGGUGAGUAACACGUGGAUAACCUACCUAUAAGACUGGGAUAACUUCGGGAAACCGUAGCUAAUACCGGAUAAUAUUUUGAACCGCAUGGUUCAAAAGUGAAAGACGGUCUUGCUGUCACUUAUAGAUGGAUCCGCGCUGCAUUAGCUAGUUGGUAAGGUAACGGCUUACCAAGGCAACGAUGCAUAGCCGACCUGAGAGGGUGAUCGGCCACACUGGAACUGAGACACGGUCCAGACUCCUACGGGAGGCAGCAGUAGGGAAUCUUCCGCAAUGGGCGAAAGCCUGACGGAGCAACGCCGCGUGAGUGAUGAAGGUCUUCGGAUCGUAAAACUCUGUUAUUAGGGAAGAACAUAUGUGUAAGUAACUGUGCGCAUCUUGACGGUACCUAAUCAGAAAGCCACGGCUAACUACGUG